RNAcentral lists this ribosomal RNA (301 nucleotides) under uncultured bacterium. RNAcentral's name for it is "partial 16S ribosomal RNA". It matches the Rfam family "Bacterial small subunit ribosomal RNA", at positions 509 to 809 of the family's 1533-position model. The record is from RNAcentral.
CAGUAGCCACGGGAAUACGUAGGUGGCAAGCGUUGUCCGGAAUUAUUGGGCGUAAAGGGCUCGCAGGCGGUUUCUUAAGUCUGAUGUGAAAGCCCCCGGCUCAACCGGGGAGGGUCAUUGGAAACUGGGAAACUUGAGUGCAGAAGAGGAGAGUGGAAUUCCACGUGUAGCGGUGAAAUGCGUAGAGAUGUGGAGGAACACCAGUGGCGAAGGCGACUCUCUAGUCUGUAACUGACGCUGAGGCGCGAAAGCGUGGGGAGCAAACAGGAUUAGAUACCCCUGUAGUCCCUGUCUUUAUACA